UGAGAGUGGGGCAGGGAAGCCUGAGGCCCAGCCUCUGCCAUGACCCUGAGCAGGGCCUACCCCCAGGCGAUUCAUCUCCCCAUCUCUGAGCUGCCAGAUGGAACCCACGUGCAGAGUGGCUGCAACAUGGAGAAUGGGUUGGAGGGACACAAGAGGGGCAGUGGAGAGACCACUUCAGAGGUUGUCUGCAGAGUGAGAUUAUGGCGAAGCAUUUUAUUCUUUUUACAAACCUGCUUUUUCUCAGUUUUCCACAUUGGAUUUGCCAGCUACCUGCCUUUGCAGGACACCUCAGAAGUUACAGACUUGCCUGUGGAAAUGCAGAGAGCACCUGAGGUAUUUCCCGGACUCUCCAGUAGUAGCCUUGAAUGGCUGACCAACCGCAGUCACCUGCCAGAUCUUCUCAGAACCGGCCAGCCCACCAGCGACAGGCCCAUUAAGUGGCCUGGCCCAGCCCAGAUGGAAAACCCCCUCCACGUGACUUUCUAAAGAACAUGCAUGAAGACAAAACACCAGGUGCCUCAGGUGUGACACCCUGAGGACACAUCACCUGUACAGUAUCCUAACCCACCCAAGAUGACACAGUAAGCUAACUGCAGUGAGGUGUACAGGGCCAUGGGGCUCUGGGAUGAACUCUUCCACCUCUACACCUUGUAAACAAGGAUUCCAGACACACCCUCCAAAUGGGAAUGGAGACACACGUUUGGCAGAGUUGGACAGUAACGCUGCUCUCCUAUCAGCCUGGACUUUGAGGGGAGUGGAAAACAUGAGUGUGGAGGUGCAGCAGUCCUGGUAUCCCCUGAAACCAGCCUGUGGGGGGAACAGUCUUCCCAGGGGAGCUGCUCAGGAUCGUCCUGGUCCCAUGCAUCAGGAAGAAAAGGGAACCUGAGAGCAGAGGGAAAAUGCAGAAAGUGGGGCAGGGAGACUGCUCCCUGAAACCCCCAUGGGCUGCUGGUCCAAGCAGAAAGUGUUGUCGGAGGGGGGAGAGGCAGGGUGAAAUGGGACAGGAAACGAGGACUUCCGAUGAGGAGGAGGAGGGGGCAGUGGGCUGCGGGUCUUGGGGACUGAACAGAAUGGGGUUUGCUAGACAGAGCUUUCGUCUACCCACUCCUGAAGUCCUGCUGGACCUCAGCUGGCCCUUGUGAACUGUUGAGGGGGAUAUAAACACAAAGGCCUGCAUUCCUGUGGGUGCACAAUCCUAAGAGACCAUGGACUGCCUGUGUGUGGUGGGAACAGGAAAAGGAGGCUGAGUGUAGCCCUGCUUGGAAUUUAGUGUCCACCACAGAUGUAUCCACUACCCAGGGCCAAAGACUCGGCAGCCUCAGAAGACUCAAUGGAAGCUGAGCACAGGACUAGAAAGGGUCAGGGCCCUCCUCUGUAUGUAGGGGUGGCACAUGGCCACUAGCUGGGUGAUGGGGCACUGAGAAAUUAAAUGUUUGACAUAAAAAUGUAAUCAGGACCCGAGAGGAGGUGGGUGGUGUAAUGAACAGCAUCCUAGAAGUCCGGUACAGAUUUCACGUGUCACCUUCUAGUUCCUUAUCUGAAAUUGAAAGGUGAGGUCAGGUGCAGUGGCUCAGGCCUGUAAUCCCAGCACUUAGGGAGGCUGAGGAGGGCAUAUCAUUGAGGUCAGGUGUUUGAGACCAGCCUGGCCAACAUGGUGAAACCUCUACUAAAAAUACGAAAAUUAGCCGGCUGUGCUGCACACGCCUGUCGUCCCAGCUACUUGGGAGGCUGAGGCAGGAGAAUCCCUUGAACCUGGGAGGCAGAGGCUGCAGUGAGCUGAGAUCACACCACUGCACUCAAGCCUGGGCAUCACAGCGAGACUUCUUAAAAAAAAAAAAAAAAUUUAAAGGUGAGCCAGUUCAGGCUUCUAGAGGCACUGCAGUUACAGACGGUAAACUGCACAAAUCCUGGGUGUGAAGCUGUUUUUUCCUGUGUAACCACCACCCAUUGACAGCAUCCCAGAAAGUUCAAGUGUGUCCCUUCCCAGUUUACAGCCACCCGCCUCCCACCCUCACUUCUAAAUCCACCGAUUAGCAGUGUGUCUUGGAAAUUAAUAUACAAGGAAUCAUAUAGUAUGUGCUCUUUUGUGUUUGGCUUCUUUGCUCAAGAUGUCCGUGAGAUUCAGCCGGGUUGCCUCUCUCUGUAAUAUGUUAAUUUAGGUGUAGUAUCCAUUGUCUGGAAAUACAAUUGUCUAUUCUCUACUGGUGGAUAUUUGAGUGUCUCUGGUUUGGGGCCAUUAUAAUAAAACUGUUGUGAAUCUUCUUAUACAAGUUUUUUGGUGGACAUCAGCCUCAUUUCUCUGAAAUGAGUGGAAACUGCUGGGCCGGAGGGUAGCUGUUGUUUUUAGCUUUAGUGGAUAUUGCCAAGUAGGAAGUAGGGAGGUGAUUAUUACAGUCUCUAAUAUAUAAAAAAG
Molecule: long non-coding RNA, 2413 nt
Filed under: Homo sapiens (human)
Lineage: Eukaryota; Metazoa; Chordata; Mammalia; Primates; Hominidae
Description: non-protein coding lnc-SBF2-2:1
Source: RNAcentral